Molecule: long non-coding RNA, 3175 nt
Organism: Leopardus geoffroyi (Geoffroy's cat)
Lineage: Eukaryota; Metazoa; Chordata; Mammalia; Carnivora; Felidae
Exons: 3
Source: RefSeq, a predicted model, not a curated record
GGGGGGUGGGCUCAACCUUUGAGGACAACUUGGGGGCCCGAAGGAGGCUUUGAUGAGCCGGCUCCCCGACGGGUUCCCCCCUGGGUCUUUGGGCUGUGGCGGAGAGGGCUGUGUCGGUCUAUGGAAGCUGCCCCCGCCUCGGACCCGCCGUUUCCUCCCUGCUGCAGGAAGCGCCUGCACUGUCAGGCGUCUGUGUGGCGUGGGCUGGGCCCUUCCAGCCCUGCUGUGACACGGGCCAGGCCGGCGGGGGCCUCUGGCGGGGCCCACGGCCGCCCCUUCCCACCCCUCUCUCAGCCACAGUCCCAGAGGCCGUUGGGGGGGGGCGGGCCUCCUGUGACUCGCGGAGACGGUCCUUACCCUGAUUCGGAGUAGCAGGUCGGCAAACCAGGCCGCCAGGCCCAUCAUGGAGGGGUAGGCCCGGGCCACCCACGAGUCGGGCACAGUGUCAUAGAACAGAGCCACGGACAGGUCCUCCAUGUCGGUCGUGAUGGUCAGCUCCCCCUAAGGGACAAACGGAUAGGGCGCUGGUAGGCACGCAGACCGGGCCGGUCACACACCUUGUCUCCCCUGCCCCCCCGUGCCAAGGGCCCUCGAGAGAAAGCAGUUUGCCACGGAGCCCCGGUGUGCGCCACCCUGGCCUGGCAGGCCUGCAGCUCAGGACCAGGGAACCAAGAGGAGACCGCACUUCGCUAGCACCCAGGGCCGGUCCCCGCCCCCGCCCCCGCGUCCCGCAGCCGCCUCGCGAGCCCCAGGUUCAGUUCCUUCAGUGAGCGGCGCAUCUCGUUGGUAAGGAUGUUCAUCCUCUCGCACUCCUGGAAGGCGACCACCACGUACGGGGUCUUCUCGGCUGACUUCGCCAUGAUCUCGGCCAUGUUGAAUGUCUCCGGGACCUUCUCCAGGAUAUCCUCCAGCACAGCCUUCACCUAGAGGACCGUGCGGAACAGUUUCUCUGAGGUGACUGUCAGAAAGCCGAUCUCUGCAUUGGGGUGCAGGCCGUACAGGUAGGGACUCUCGGGGGGCAGGUUCUCAUUGAUGUACUCGUGGUAACCCUGCAGAGGGGCGGUCGGUGAACAGGGCUGCCAAGCAACCUGUGUCCGCCGUUGACGAAGCAUUUCUGACCAGAAUGUUCCGCCCACGCCUUGCCCUCUGUACCAACCCCACUGGUUCUCUAACACCCCCCACCCCAGCCACAUGAACGAAGCCUCCACGCCCCCUCCCCAGAGGCUGUGUUUCAAGCCGUCCCGGCCUUUUUGCUCAAUCAUUGAUACUCUGUCUGUGACGCCAGGCUGGCCCCCCCGGAGCCGGCCAGGACAGCAUUGCCCUUUGCUGCUGUUGCGUCACAGGGUGAGCUUGUGUCCCCGAGAGAGGGCCCCCCUCACCUUGUAGUCCAGGUUGGGGGGGAUCUGAAAGCCCGGGGCCAGCAGGGUCUCGCCCUCCAGCAUCUCUGCCCGGACGUACUCCGCCAGGUACGUCCUGCAGAGCCGGCGGUCCCAGUCGUCCGUGAUGUGGCCGCCGUACAUGAUUUCUCCAAACAAGUAGCGAAGGUCGUCCCAGGGCACCUUAGGAAGGACGGAGGCGGUGAGGAGAAGUACCCCCUGCCCCGUUGGGGUCGGUAAGAACCGACAGUCGGCCAUCCGUGUGAGGUGAGGGCCGGCUCCUCCUGUCACCCCGUCGCCGCCUUGUCCGCUGCUCCGUAGGGUUACCAGGCCUCCCCUCACCCCCCUCCCCCUGCCCCGCCCCGGCGGUGUCUCACCCGGAGGCCCGCCCCUCCUUGGCGGGGUCCCGCCUUCUCUGGCAAGGGCUGCCCAGCGGCUCCCCUCUGCCCACAGCCUGGCCUCUGUGUCCCAGGACGUCCCGCUCCGAGGCCUGCCCUGCAGCCCCAACUUGUGCCCUCGCUCGGGCCACCCUUGUGACCCCCUGCUCAGAAAUGUGCAGCCACCCGUGACUCCUGACCAGAGCGGUUUAAUUCUGUGCCGACUGGGGGGUGUGGACGCUCGGGCGCCGUUUCUGUUGGCCAGUCGGUCUGUGCAGUGUGUCCGUCCAGUGGGUCUUUCUUGCCAUCCCGCUGGGCUUGCCUGGCGCCGAGUUUCCCGGCGCGUCGCCCCUCGUGCUGCGUGUGCCCCGCGGGGCUUUGCAGCACCGGGAGCUUCAGCAGGGGAGCUCACCUGCCCAACCUGGGGCGUCUGACCUUAUGCUCAGCCCGGAACGCUCCUUUCCACCACCACUCACCAAGGCGACGCCCGACUUCCGAAGCCAGCUCAAAUGCCGCCUCCUCCGGGAAGCCAGCGGGUGAGCUCCGGCUUCCAGGUGCCAGCACAUCGCUGUUCCUUGCACACACAGCGCCGCCCGAGGGGGAUCCUUGUAGUCCAGGUUAGGGGGGAUCUGAAAGCCCGGGGCCAGGCCCGGGAGCCACAGAUGGCAGCCACACGCGAGGUUUCAGAUUUGCCAGCACCCACGUAAGAGCCCUGUUCCAGCAGCAGUAACCAGCAUGGAGACGAUGAAUUAAUGAGGUAUUUUCCGUUCUCUCACCUGCCCCAAGAGUACUCAGUACAGCUCACAUCCCACCCGCAGUUUGGACUGGCGGUCGGUCCGCGGCUGCCUCCUGACACGGUUAAGAGCUUGCUGAUUGAACGGUUGAUGGAUUUGGUCUCCUUUUACUCAAAAUAUUCACAUGCUCUAAAUUGUCAUUUUGUGCCUGAAAAUUUGUGCUCUGCCUGGUUAUCUUGGGAAUGUGCUGAGCUGCGUAUUUCUGUGUUUUGCCUGUUUGCUUUGGGGACAGUCUGUUUGUUCUGGGAGGCCCUCUGGCCCCACGAGUUGCCUCCUGUCCGUCCCCGCAGGGUGGGGGCCGUGGGACCAACAAGCAGGGACGGUGCCGGUGGGAGUCCUGGAGUGCAUGUCGGAGACGGUGCCCGGCCUCUCCCGAGCGACUGCUCGGAGUCCGGGGCGGGGGGAUAUGAGCGUGGGACGUGGACAUCAUCACAGGUGUUACCUAACGACAGAGGAGGGGUCCCGCCACCCCCAGCCUGGUGCACUUGGCUCGGCGGGACGCGCAUUCCUGUGUCCUUCACUGCUGUCCGCUGGGCACGUGUCCUCGAGCAGUUUCCUACCCACCUUGACUUCUGUACGUGUGUACGAUGGGGCGAAGAGUCUGAAUAAACGUCUUUAAAAAACUCGA